Molecule: ribosomal RNA, 531 nt
Filed under: uncultured bacterium
Lineage: Bacteria
Description: bacterial SSU rRNA
Rfam family: Bacterial small subunit ribosomal RNA
Source: RNAcentral
UCUUGACAUCCAGAGAACUUGGCAGAGAUGCCUUGGUGCCUUCGGGAACUCUGAGACAGGUGCUGCAUGGCUGUCGUCAGCUCGUGUUGUGAAAUGUUGGGUUAAGUCCCGCAACGAGCGCAACCCCCUAUCCUUUGUUGCCAGCGAUUCGGUCGGGAACUCAAAGGAGACUGCCGGUGAUAAACCGGAGGAAGGUGGGGAUGACGUCAAGUCAUCAUGGCCCUUACGAGUAGGGCUACACACGUGCUACAAUGGCGUAUACAAAGAGAAGCGACCUCGCGAGAGCAAGCGGACCUCAUAAAGUACGUCGUAGUCCGGAUUGGAGUCUGCAACUCGACUCCAUGAAGUCGGAAUCGCUAGUAAUCGUAGAUCAGAAUGCUACGGUGAAUACGUUCCCGGGCCUUGUACACACCGCCCGUCACACCAUGGGAGUGGGUUGCAAAAGAAGUAGAUAGCUUAACCUUCGGGAGGGCGUUUACCACUUUGUGAUUCAUGACUGGGGUGAAGUCGUAACAAGGUAGGCGUACGUGU